CAAUAGCGUAUAUUAAAGUUGUUGCAGUUAAAACGCUCGUAGUCGGAUUUCGGGGCGGGCCUGCCGGUCUGCCGAUCGGUACGCACUGGCGGGCGCGUCCUUCCUUCCGGAGACCGCGCCUCCUCUUAACUGAGCGGGCGUGGGAGACGGAUCGUUUACUUUGAAAAAAUCAGAGUGUUUCAAGCAGGCAGCUCGCUCUUGCAUGGAUUAGCAUGGGAUAAUGAAAUAGGACUCUGGUGCUAUUUUGUUGGUUUCGAACACCGGAGUAAUGGUCAACAGGGACAGUCAGGGGCACUCGUAUUCCGCCGAGAGAGGUGAAAUUCUCAGACCAGCGGAAGACGAACCACUGCGAAAGCAUUUGCCAGGGAUGUUUUCACUGA
This 380-nucleotide ribosomal RNA is filed under the name uncultured eukaryote. RNAcentral describes it as "partial 18S ribosomal RNA". It matches the Rfam family "Eukaryotic small subunit ribosomal RNA", at positions 592 to 976 of the family's 1831-position model. The record is from RNAcentral.